This 259-nucleotide small RNA is filed under the name Pongo abelii (Sumatran orangutan). RNAcentral's name for it is "retained intron". The record is from RNAcentral. Lineage: Eukaryota; Metazoa; Chordata; Mammalia; Primates; Hominidae.
GGAUCAGCCUCAGCCCUCACCUGCCUGGGGAGCUGGCCAUCUGCAGCCGCUCAGGAGCCGUCUGCCUGUGGAGCCCUGAGGAUGGGCUGCAGCAAAUCUACAAGGACCCUGAGACCCUUGUGUUCCGGGAGUCCUCUUCAUGGCGUUGGGCAGACUUCACUGCCCACCCUCGGCUGCUGACCGUUGGUGACCGCACUGGAGUGAAGAUGCUUGACACUCAGGUAUGGGGUGGCGGCAGGAGACCUGCCCCAACUGCGGG